GAUGGCUCGUUCAGCGUCCCUCCACCCAUCCGUUCCAUACUGCCAUGGGAGGAGACUAUCUAACGUGGUGUGUUGCGAUUUUGAAAGAUCAGAAAAUGGUUUCGAAAUCACAGUUAGCGUAAAUGUGCAUCUUAAACAAAAAUGCACUUUUAAAAGAAUUGAAACCAAAAUGAAAACUCAAAAGAUUUCUCAAGUCCCAGCAGUCCUCUGUUGACAAGCUGAAGCAGAAGCAUUCCUAAAGCCACUCUGCUUAUAGGUUGUUUUAAAUUUUUUUAUAAACAAUAGCUCACAAUCAAAGGCCCCGAUUCUGCAAUCAGAUCCAUGUGGAUGGCUGCUUCUACUAAUGCGAAGACCCACAGAUGUCAAUGGGGCUCAUUCCACAUGAUCUGACUACAAGAACAGGGAAUGAAUGUGAUGGUGAAUGGGACCUGAUUCUCCACUGCCUUGUGCCUUGUGUAGUUGUUUACUCCUGCAUGGUGAGGGCAAAUGGGUGAGAGACAGAUGUUUCUGCAGAGGACAGGCUGUGAAUAGGGGACUCUAGACUGGGACACCUCCCAGGAGGUGCUGCUCCUGCAUCAUCCGCUGGUCUAACUCAGGACCUGCUGCUUCCACUGAAGAUUCCUUUUCACGGCAUCAAUACCAUGGAUCUCCCACAAGUCCCUUCCAAAAGCUGUGGUGGUGGUGGUGAGUGACUUCUCAUUUCUUAAAACAAAAUCUAGAAGAUGUGAUGCUAUGAACUUUUUGGAAAGAGUCUGUUGCUCUCUAACAUGGAAGCACUAUACCUGCUACACUUUGAGUCUAUUUGAAAUUGCCAGUUUGUCCUGCUUUGGGUGAAUCUGGUGGCAGGUGAAGGAGGUCCUUAACAUACUUUAAGGUGAGUUCCUAAUUCCUCACUUUGUAUCCUUAUCAGAAUAAGCAAUAACAUUGCCUCCCAGUCUUUCAUCACAAGGAAUGUCUCUCUUAUGAGAGCUUUGUCCUCUAACACAUUUUAUGAAAAGUACAUUACAUUCCCUUAAAGAACAAGCUUGGUGUGGUGGCUAGAAGUAAUAGCAUGCACAAUUUGGGAGGCAGCCUGGCCCAGCUGCUGUUAUAAAAGGUAACUUGCUCCCAAUGGUUCCUCUUUAUAUAAUAAUUUUAAUUUCUAAGUUACGCAA
Chrysemys picta bellii (western painted turtle) is the source of this 1154-nucleotide non-coding RNA. The record is from RefSeq and is a predicted model, not a curated record. Lineage: Eukaryota; Metazoa; Chordata; Testudines; Emydidae.